GACGCGCACGCCGCCCUCUGACCCCGCAGCGUCGUGGCUAGAGUAGGGUCUGGAGAGAGCUCCCACUGUGGCGAGUCCUGUCGUUGGAUUCCCGCGGCGCCCCGUAAGGCUCCGCCCCGGCGGUGCUACCAAACCCUGUUCGAUUUUAGAAUCGUACAUUCCCAGAGGGAAUCCUAGACCCCUCAUUUUACAGUUGAGGAAACAGGCCCAAGUAGCAUGACUUGUUCGCGCCGCUAGUCGAAGGAGCAGCAGCCCCGAUCCCUUGACUCUGGGGCACUGCUUUCCCUUUAGCUCAUUUUUGGAGGAAAUGGGUGCGCCCUUGCUCGACCUUUGGUGAUUGCCGCCACAGGCCUUCCCGCCGGCUAACUCAGCGUGCCCAAGUCCCGUGACUUAGUGCCAGGACGGUGCUGUGACCCGUUAUCCCCUGUCGGGUUUUACCUCCCCCCGGGAGAGCUCAGCCCUGGAUCCCGGCGGGCGGCGGAGCCUCUCUGGAGCCCGGACGGGACAGCCCACCAGGGUCUGCUUCUGUGAGGGGCCGAGGCGUCAUUCCGCGAAGCCUUCUCCUUGCUGUUGCCAUGUGAAGAAGGAUGUGUUUGCUUCCCCUUCUGCCAUGAUUGUAAGUUUUCUGAAGCCUCUCCAGCCAUGCCAAACUGAAGCUGCUGGAAGGUACACAUCUUGGGAGUUUGCCCUUUGAAGCUCACCUGUGGACCUUUUUUCCUUUCGAAAAGAAGCAUAAGCUGCAAUAAAAAUUUGGUUUCAAGAUAACAAAGUCAGUCCCCAAAAAUCAGUAUUGAGAGUCACUGACAUUAAAUGAUGAAGAUACGAGGAUGGUGUGGGGACCUUUACUCUUCGAAGAUGAGCUAUACAUGCCCCUGAAAAGGCUGUCUGAAGACAGGGGAAGGCUGGAGAUGGCAACUUUGGCCUCUGCCAAGUACUCGUGCUAUUUUCUGUAUGUGAUACUAUCUGUUUUGUAACUCAGAGGCAACACCACAUACCUAGCAUAAGGCUUGAACUCCCUUUGGGGUUAUCAAUUACUUACAUAGCCUUCCUCUAAGGGAAGGCUUGCAAGUGGUUCAUAUUCGACCCUUCCAUGUGAUAAGCAUUCAUGUGGGCUUCACAAUGUAACAGAGGUACACAGAGAUUCUUGUAAACAGAAAAUUUUAUAAAACUGUUAACUGAUCUCACUUUGAAGAAGUCUUACUGACUAGAUGUCAUUUAUCAGAGUAGACAGGCUUAAAAUGCAUUGCUUGUACUAGACUGUUGUAAUGCAUUUUUUUGUUUUUGCAUUGGUUUUUAAUUCAUUUAAUUGGUUUACACUCAUUUUUUUUUUUACAUUCCAUUUUUGCAUUUGUAUGCCAGUUAAAAAUUAUGAAAUGGCACAUUGUGGGAUUUUGUUUAGCUAAAUUCUAGAAAAAUUGAAAGAUACCUUUUAUUCGACUUAAGCCUGAGGUUAUUCAGCACGGUGAUCUCUGCAUUUUUGAAAGGUUGUCUCGUCGUUUAAUAAACGUAAAUAACUUAAGCACAUUGGAAGAGCUAUUAAAUGAGAGCAGGAGAUUAAAAAGACAUGAUUUCUUACUUUAUCCACCUGACAGGAUAGCUUGCAUUGGUGAUUAACCUUGCAUUGUUAAAUUCAUUUCCUAAAUAUUUAGGUAAGUAGUUGGUUUGAUCAUUAUUUGUAAAGUAUUAGUAGUUGCAUGUUGAAUUAUCAUGUUAAGAUUUUUAGUUUGUUGUUCAUGUGAUAUGAAAGAUAACAAUUCCUAAAACUGAAUGCAUGCAUGGCUUAUUCAGCUCAGGUCACAUACAAAGAGAAAUGUGACGCUGCAAUAAACAUAGCAGAGCUAUCUGGGUUUGAAGCAAAAAGGCUAUGACGUUAGGUAUAUGCACUUUACAUUGUAUGUAUCUUUUUAGUUCUAGUGAACUCAUCUGGAAUCAUGUUACAGAAAAUGAUUCUCCAGGUCCAAACACAUUUAAGUUUAAUGACUGGGACUACUCUAACAAUUGCGGCUAUCUCAUUUUGUCUCAUUGGUUCAUUAGCAUAGCACCCAUUUAAGAACAACUACUUCUAAACACAGUAAUAUUUCAGAGGCUAUAAAAUAAUAGAGAAAGAAAACUUAAAAAAUCCUUUGUUUGCAGCCAAGAAAAUGUGAGGAUCAGAUUUGUACUUGUUUUGAACAAUUGGAAACUGUCACAAUUGUUUUUAAGAUGUAAUAAAUGUAUAUAAAAUAUGGGAUUCUAUAGUAUUAGCCAUUUUGAUAUCUUUUGUUGAAAGAAAAAACCAAAAAACCCCAUAUGUUCUAAGUCUCAGAAAUCAAAGAAUUCCACAAUUUUCAUUUCCACUAAAAUAUUUAUUUAAUGGAUAUCUUACAGAAAUAAAUAAAAACAGUUUUUGUCUAAUACAGAUAGGUUUUUUUAUAUAUAUGUAAUUUGAUUUUACAAAAUUGAAGCAUAUCAAAUUGUUUUCUCUAAAACAUAGCUCAGAAAGGAAUAGUAGAAAACAAACACAAAGAAAUACUGAAAUAGUCUCAUUUUUAAAUUAUAAGCAUGGGCCUUCUGAAUCUCAGCAUGACAUGUUAUUAGUAAAAGAAUGUAAGAUAUGGAGUCAGGGGACCUGGGCUCCACUGUUUACUUGCUACAUGUCCUAAGAAAGUUUCAAUAUAUCUGAACUUCAGUUCUCUACCUUUAAAACAGUAAAGAUAUUAAUUAUAUCAACUUCACAAGAUUGUUGGGUAAAUUAAACACGUAAAUGUACAUGAAAGCUCUUUUUAAUAUGUGAAGAGCUAUAAAAAUAACAGUUUGAUUUAAUUUCAUAUAAAAGAAUCAAUGGAUACCUCCUUUUAACUGAAGAAUAAGCACCAAAAGCAUGUGUGUGUUUUCUUCAGUUGAAUUACAUCACUCUAUAAACCUAGAGUAAGAAAAUGCACCUUAACUAAGCACCAAAGCCUCUCGGACAAAUGGGAUCUAGGGAAUGGUUCUAUGAGUUUUCCAGGCAGCUAACUGGGAGCUAAUAAGUCCUGAGGGUCAAAGAGGGUCCUUUAAAACUCUGAAGGCUCAAAGAAAAGGAAGCCAAAUAAGAACAUUUGUAUUACAUCAAAUGGCUAGGAUGUAACAAGCUACUCCUUAUUCAGCAAUUUCAAAGUCCAUUAAUUCCUCACAGAAGAAGAAACACUUCGUUAUUAUCACUUGCAACGAUUUGCUUAUGUGAACAUGGCAUUCUCUUGUUCAAAAGGUCAAAGACUCGUGCUUAAGGGAGGAACAACUGGAGUGAAAUAACAACUCUACCAUGAAUUCAGAUAUCACUGGCUAAAAAGUCUAGUUACACAAGAACAUGGGAAAGAAAAAGAAUCCAAGACAUCAGUAUAAUAAUGAUUAAAAAAAAAACCCUGCCAUAUUUCCAUGUUAUAAUAAAACAAAAUCAUAAAAACUGCAAUAUUUACAGAUACAUCAAUCUUACAACAUAUAAAAACUUUAACAAUAAGAAAAAUUAAGAGUAGGGAAAGCAGAUAAUUUUAAGGUAAUCAUUAAUACAUUAAAAAAUCUAUUUGGAGUUAACUGUUUACACUAACACCACUUUACACAUAAUAGAAAUAUGAAUAUUUUCAUUGUUUUUGUUUUCAGUAGCAAGAUGCAGAAGAAACAAAUAACUGUCUAACAUUAACUUAUUGUAAGGAGUUGUAUUACUGCAAAAUUACUAGGUGUAAAGUUAUGGUAUAAGCCUACUCAAAAAAUGGGUUAAUAUAAUUCACCAUCUACUUAAAAUAUUACUAACAAGAUAUUGGUGAAUCAUGUGCUAAAGAUACUGAAGGCCCUUCCAAAACUGAGAUCUAUGUUUGUUCAAUAUACCAGGUCAUAUAAAACUAGACUAGUUUACUUUCUUAUUCCAACUGUUUUAUGAGUGAUCUUAUCAUAAGAAAAGUACACAUUACCUCUCUUAAUUCCCUUGCAUCAUCAGAUAUAGAUACUAUUUGGGACAAAAAAUAAAUGUUUUAUUAGGAGUGUAAAAUUAAGAAUCUUUAUAGAUCUUUUGGAAACAGUAUAUUGAAAAGGACUCAAUAAGUACUAAGCCACUGUAUAACCAGAACAAUAAACAAAUUCAUUCAACUAGG
This is a long non-coding RNA of Homo sapiens (human), 4103 nucleotides long. RefSeq annotates it as EPM2A divergent transcript. The transcript has 4 exons. Lineage: Eukaryota; Metazoa; Chordata; Mammalia; Primates; Hominidae. The record is from RefSeq and is marked validated.